RNAcentral lists this unclassified non-coding RNA (392 nucleotides) under Hevea brasiliensis (rubber tree). The record is from RNAcentral. Lineage: Eukaryota; Viridiplantae; Streptophyta; Magnoliopsida; Malpighiales; Euphorbiaceae.
GAACAAAUUAGCUUUGGCUUUUCUACUUUUACAAGAUGAUGAUAGAGAUCAGAAUGCUAACUGUACAAAAUUAGAAGGAAAAAGAAGAGAAUUAAGGAGAAGGAAGUUUACAAAGAAGGUAGAUCGAUUGAAUACUAAUGGAGGUUUAAGCCUAAUUAAUAUUAUUUAAUUUCUUGAUUUUGUUCUUAUGGCUUUACUCGAACCCAUUCGUAACGUCCUUCCAACGGAACAUCCUCAACAAUAUCGUAAUUAUACUUCUCAGCGAAACGUUUCUGGAUGUUUUUCUCGGCGGCGAUGAAGAAUUCUUCCAGCUCCGAUUCCGCCGGCAUCUUCACCGAAGACGAAGAUCUAUUGCCGGAAGUUGCUUCGCUUUUCCUUGCCGGAGACUCCAU